Macadamia integrifolia is the source of this 1904-nucleotide long non-coding RNA. RefSeq lists it as uncharacterized. The record is from RefSeq and is a predicted model, not a curated record. The transcript is spliced from 2 exons. NCBI's taxonomy places the organism in Eukaryota, Viridiplantae, Streptophyta, Magnoliopsida, Proteales, Proteaceae.
UCAGUCCUACAUUAGGUCCCUAUCGAUACCGAUGCAUAGCGAAUGUAUUGGCAUGAUACUUAUUGAUACUUGAUUCCUUUGUUAAAUAGGUAGUUCUUAAAUUUGAAUCACCCAAAUGGUAAGUGACCUCCCAGAUGGGACAACACUUGGAUGAACAGGUAGCCAGAACAAGAAUUCGAUUUCAAGUUACCAUUGAAUGGUAAAAAGUUAUAUGAUCAUGCAUGAUUUCUGACUUUUGAAUUUUGGUCCAAAGAUCUAGUCCCACAAUUAUUGUUUAAUCGAUGGAACACGUUCUAGGUGAAUGGGUUAUGUCUAACAAUGUCUACCGACUGAUUUUUAUUAUGUAGGACUAGGAAUGGUCUAAACCCUAAUUGUACUAGUAAAUUUUCAUCAUCACUUUCAAGCAAUAAACUCAAAACACUAACUGAAAGUAGUUCUUAGUUAAGCUAAAAAGAAAAGCAAGUACAUCGAUGAAAAAUUAGCCAGUCUUCUUGCAAAACUUAACUAAAGUUUGUUGGAAGCUCCAAAACUGGAAAAAUUUAAGAGGCAGCUUGAUAGAUGAAGAAACUGGUAAAAUUUGAACUAAACCCCCCCCCCCCCCCGGGGGGUGUGGUGGUUCAAACAACCAUGUCAACUUGACUGGUCAUAGCAGGUCCUUUCUGAAAACUAGCAAACUUCAAAUUUUGUGAAAAAUCAUCUGUAUCCGACAACUCUAGCUAGAGUUUAGAUUGGGCCUGCUAUAACCAGUCAACUUGACGGGAUUGUUUGGCUUCUUUCCUGGGGUCCAAUUGAGCUGAAAUUUUAGAAAGGUUUUCAUCAACUUUUUUUGUUAAAAAUCUAUUAAGCUUUAUUCUUCCUGACCAAAUUUGCAAGGCCAAGUAGACUGGCUCUUUUUUUACAUGAAUUUGGGUUUUGACUUGGCAUUUGAGUUUUUCAUUCAAAGUUAAGGGUCCAUUUGGGUUCAUUACUUGCCGGUUUUAUUUGUAAUAACCUUCCUACAUCAAUUUGUGUCGGAGUUGAAAGAUCUAAUUCUAGUCCUUUUGAUGGAUACAAUCCAAGUUGUUCAGGGUUUGAACAAAACUUGAAGAAGUCUCUUUAUGAAAUGUUCAGUAAUUUUUAUGUGUACCAAAACAGAAAUUCAAAGUAGGUUUCUACAUGUUGAUCAAUCUCUGGAAAAUAUGGAAAAGCUAUUAUUGAAUUUUAUGCAAAAAAAGACCAUCAAGAAGAUGUAGAAGUAGAACAACCACUACUGCUGAAUUGAUGGAGUCUGCAAUAAUGCUUCUAAGAGAACAUUUGGCAGUGUGCAGCAGCUUCCAUGAGAACUGAAUUUCGUAGUCAAAACCGUGAUCUAAUUAAAAUCCCCUUAUAAUAACACUUGUUUGUGGCUAUGCUAAAUAUUGUAACAUAUUGGUACUUUCUUAGAAUUGGAGGUGUGAGACUGUGAUUAAUUACUGGUGAUUAUUGCCCUUGUGCUGCAGAUCCAGAUGAUCCACUGAAGACAACUGAUCAGACCCGGACUCUUGGCCUAAUAGUUUGUAGGGGGACUGCAGUGAUGCUUGUAUCCCCAACUGAUGGUACUGAAGAGAUUGCAAAUCCCUUUAUCCAGCCAGAUGGUGCAUAGGGCUCAUCUUACAAUCAUGCACUUAAUUUGCACCUAACUAAGCUAUAGGUAUGCUUUAUGUAGUCUUUUUUCCUGUUGGUUUUGGAUGUUACUUCGUUCACGAGGGAGCUCUGGAAGACUUUGGAUUUGGUCUUUUGUGGAUACAACUCUACCACCUCUGAAAUGUAACUGUAGUAGUAUUCUAAUGUCACUAAAAGUACUGGUGUUGUCACUUCUCUGAUAUUGCAUAGGAUGGUAUGGUUAUUUCUCUUAAAUGGAAUACAAAUUCAGUAUUUUCGAAGAA